Molecule: ribosomal RNA, 1895 nt
Filed under: marine metagenome
Description: bacterial LSU rRNA
Rfam family: Bacterial large subunit ribosomal RNA
Source: RNAcentral
UCAAGCGCGAGAAGGGCGUUUGGUGGAUGCCUUGGCAGUAAGAGGCGAUGAAGGACGUGAUACUCUGCGAUAAGCUUUGGGAAGUCGAGAAUAGACGCUAUACCCAAAGAUCUCCGAAUGGGGCAACCCAACUGAUACUUUGUUAUUGUUACACUUUGUGUAAUCAAUAAUGGGGUAAAACAGUUAUUAAUUACCUGAAUACAUAGGGUUUUUAAAGCAAACCUGGGGAACUGAAACAUCUAAGUACCCAGAGGAAAGGAAAUCAAUAGAUACUCCCGUAGUAGUGGCGAGCGAACCGGGACCAGCCGAGCAAUGAAUGUGACUAGAACCAGUUGGAAAGCUGGGCGAUAUGGGUGACAGCCCCGUAUAGGAAGCAUGAUUUGACGUAUUAAGUAGGGCGGAACACGUGAAAUUCUGUCUGAACAUGGGGGGACCACCCUCUAAGGCUAAGUACUCCUUACUGACCGAUAGCGAACCAGUACCGUGAGGGAAAGGUGAAAAGCACCCCGACGAGGGGAGUGAAACAGUUUCUGAAACCGGACGCCUACAAACAGUUGGAGCCUCUUUAUGGGGUGACAGCGUACCUUUUGUAUAAUGGGUCAACGACUUGGUCUUACUAGCAAGCUUAAGCCGAUAGGUGUAGGCGCAGCGAAAGCGAGUCUUAAUAGGGCGAAUGAGUUAGUAGGAUCAGACCCGAAACCGAGUGAUCUAGGCAUGAGCAGGUUGAAGGUAAGGUAACACUUACUGGAGGACCGAACCCACAUCUGUUGAAAAAGAUCGGGAUGACUUGUGCCUAGGGGUGAAAGGCCAAUCAAACUCGGAGAUAGCUGGUUCUCCGCGAAAUCUAUUUAGGUAGAGCGUCGCACGAAUACCUUGGGGGGUAGAGCACUGAAUGGGUAAUGGGGACUCACCGUCUUACUGAUCCUAAUCAAACUCCGAAUACCCAAGAGUAAUAUGCGGCAGACACACUGCGGAUGCUAACGUCCGUAGUGGAGAGGGAAACAACCCUGACCCUCAGCUAAGGCCCCUAAUUCAUGGCUAAGUGGGAAAGCAGGUGGGACGACCAAAACAACCAGGAAGUUGGCUUAGAAGCAGCCAUCUUUUAAAGAUAGCGUAACAGCUCACUGGUCUAAUUUAAGUUAUCCUGCGGCGAAGAUGUACCGGGGCUCAAGCCAUGAGCCGAAGCUAGGGAUGCAAUUUAUUGCAUGGUAGCGGAGCGUUCUGUGAUAUAGAACGCUGCGUCUUUAGUAUCUUAGGAUAUUUUGGACGCAAUGUUCUGACUGUGAAGCCGGCGCGUAAGCGAUCCGGUGGAGUGAUCAGAAGUGAGAAUGUUGACAUGAGUAGCGACAAACAGGGUGAGAGACCCUGUCGCCGAAAGUCCAAGGGUUCCUGCUUAAAGCUAAUCUGAGCAGGGUAAGCCGACCCCUAAGGCGAGGCCGAAAGGCGUAGUCGAUGGGAACCAGUUUAAUAUUACUGGGCCAGGAGAUGGUGACGGAUCGAAAGCGUAGUGACUCCUUAUCGGAUUGAAGUUGCUGCCGGACGGUUCCUGGAAAUAGCCCUCCAUUAGAUCGUACCCUAAACCAACACAGGUGGACUGGUAGAGAAUACCAAGGCGCUUGAGAGAACUACAUUGAAGGAACUCGGCAAAAUGCCUCCGUAAGUUCGCGAGAAGGAGGCCCCAUCAGAAGGCAACUUUUGGUGGGGGGCACAGACCAGGGGGUGGCGACUGUUUACUAAAAACACAGGGCUCUGCGAAGUCGUAAGACGACGUAUAGGGUCUGACGCCUGCCCGGUGCUGGAAGGUUAAGAGGAGGUGUGCAAGCACUGAAUUGAAGCCCCAGUAAACGGCGGCCGUAACUAUAACGGUCCUAAGGUAGCGAAAUUCCUUGUCGGGU